This 468-nucleotide ribosomal RNA is filed under the name uncultured bacterium. RNAcentral describes it as "partial 16S ribosomal RNA". It matches the Rfam family "Bacterial small subunit ribosomal RNA", at positions 28 to 507 of the family's 1533-position model. The record is from RNAcentral.
GACGAACGCUGGCGGCGUGCUUAACACAUGCAAGUCGAACGGAAAGGCCCUGCUUUUGUGGGUUGCUCGAGUGGCGAACGCGUGAGUAACACGUGAGUAACCUGCCCUUGACUUUGUGAUAACUUCAGGAAACUGGGGCUAUUACCGGAUAGGAGCUCCUGCUGCAUGUUGGUGGUUGGAAAGUUUCGGCUGUUGGGGAUCGACUCGCGGCUUCUCAGCUUGUUUGUGGGGUAGUGGCUUACCAAGGCUUUGACGGGUAGCCGGCCUGAGAGGGGGACCGGGCACAUGGGGACUGAGAUAGGGAGCAGAAGGCUACGUGAGGCAGCAGGGGGGAAUAUGGCGCAGUGAGCGGAAGACAGAGGCAGAAACGCCGCGUGCGGGAUGACGGCCUUCGGGUUGAAAACAGAUUUCGAAUGUGACGAAGCGUGAGUGACGGUAAUGGGUAAGGAAGCAACGGCUAACUACGUG